Molecule: long non-coding RNA, 352 nt
Organism: Phacochoerus africanus (Common warthog)
Lineage: Eukaryota; Metazoa; Chordata; Mammalia; Artiodactyla; Suidae
Exons: 3
Source: RefSeq, a predicted model, not a curated record
CUGAAGCCUGGGGAGAUGUGCCAGCUCCGAGCCACUCCUGGACAAGGGACAGGCGGUCAAGGUAGAACAAUUCCUCUUGAACAAGGGGAUGAGCAUCAAACACAAGGAACCAUCUAGAACUGGCUGCACAGCUGAGCAUCCUGCAUCUACAAUCACCUGCAGGGGUUAAGAAUUUGGUUUAAGCAGAAUCAAGAGGACAGACCAGAUAUUUCGCAGAAGACCCUUGAACCUGGGCUUGUUGAUGUUCCGUUGCAAGCAAGUUUCCAGCUGGGCUCCUUGGGGUUUUGCAUCAUCCCCUCUGAUGUCCAUCUGCCCCCUGAUGGAUGACGUCAACGUCUAUCGCUUAGUGAAU